UCUGGUAGUAAUAGCGGAGAGGUCACACCUGUUCUCAUGCCGAACACAGAAGUUAAGUUCUCCAGCGCCGAUGGUAGUUGGGACUUUGCCCCUGCAAGAGUAGGACGCCGCCAGGC
This is a ribosomal RNA of Oceanobacillus picturae, 116 nucleotides long. The record is from Rfam. Lineage: Bacteria; Bacillati; Bacillota; Bacilli; Caryophanales; Bacillaceae.